CUAUUCGCUUGAUUAAUUUCUUUGCUGAAAUCUAUUGCAUUGCAAUUUGCAAAAUUGACCAAUUGGAAACAAUUUGCCUAAUUGGUGUGGUCCUUUAUUCCAAAUAGACACAUAUGGAGUUAAAGAUGGAUAGGGUUAGGGUUAGGCUUUCUAGGUUCAUCUUAAUUUCUUUGUUGAAAAAAAUGUUUGUAGAGGCCCAAUUUAGCCCGGGGCCCAUAAACCAGAAACCAAAAUAAAAAUAAUAAACAGUCCAUUUUUACAACAGCCCAGCAGGCCCAAAAACUUAAAACCCAAGCACAAAGUAGACAGCCCAAAAUUACGGCAGCCCAUAGCUUCAGCAAAAAGAAGAAGGCAGAAACCCUAUCUCCCAUGUGCGCCUCUCCUCCUCAGGCGCACCACCCGCGCCUCGUCCCGAGGCCUGACCCCUUUACUCAGCCUUGCACCGAAAUGGCAAGGUCUCUUCUCCAUUGACUACGCAAAACCUGCAAAGAACACAAAAGCAGAAACAAAGCAGAAACAAAACAGAGAAAUGGCAGCAAGCAAAUAGAAGCAACAAAGCAGUAAAGAUAGGCAGUGUAAUCGGCUAUAAAGCCACCAAAAACCAAAUGUAAAAAGGGGGGAUUUCAUUUUUGAAAUAAAAAGUACAAAGAAAAUUGAACAGAAAGGUGAUUUUCAUUCCAUAUUUUGUUCGUUUUUUUACUUUUAAGUUUUUCUUUCUUUCUUUUCUCGUUUACAUGCGAAAAUAAAAAAGAAGGAAAGACUCACCUAAACCAGUCGAUUCGUUCACCAUAGGUGAGGGACAUGCCGAAAAAGGAGAAGAAACCAAGUGUUUCUUUGUUGCUUCGCCAGAUUUUGGUUGGGUUUUUCUGGGUUUUAGCCUUGGACCCUUGCUUUAUGUGUGGAGGAUUUCAAAAAUAGGUUUUUUUUUGGAACUCCGGCCACCGCGUACAGUGGCCGAUGGGUGGUGGCCCGGUGACCGGAGUUCGGUCAGACAUGGGGGCGAGUUGAGAGAGUUGAGAGCUUUAUUUUUGUUUUUUUAGAGUGAGG
RNAcentral lists this long non-coding RNA (1047 nucleotides) under Gossypium barbadense (sea-island cotton). Its description in RNAcentral is "long non-coding RNA (GBAR_LNC008345)". The record is from RNAcentral. Lineage: Eukaryota; Viridiplantae; Streptophyta; Magnoliopsida; Malvales; Malvaceae.